RNAcentral lists this small RNA (538 nucleotides) under Pan troglodytes (chimpanzee). Its description in RNAcentral is "processed transcript". Lineage: Eukaryota; Metazoa; Chordata; Mammalia; Primates; Hominidae. The record is from RNAcentral.
AAUGGUACAGGCAGCAUCACGCUGCACAAUGGUUUCCAGGCAGUGAAAGAGGGUGAUUCAGCAAGCCACUCUUCUUCUAUUUUCUUUAACCUCCCCUUCACUUUUUAUUUUUAUGGGGGUGGGUGGUGCUUGCUAUAUGCUUACCUUUUUCUUUUCUUUUUUCAUUUUUACAAAUUUCCUUUUUUGUCCUCACCCCUCAAUUCCUAGGGGCUUGAGUGAGUUUAAGAUUGGGUUUUCUUGGAAAUCACCUGUCCAUCGUUAAUUUUAAACAAUCUCCAUAUCUCCAAAGAAUCUCUUCCAUGUUAGUCUGGAAUGUGGUUAAUGAAAAACAAGUAGGGAGGAUUUCUGGGGCAAACACUGCCGGAUCAGGAUCGUAGUUCUCAGGCACGGAAUGGCUAGUGUGAGAAACACCAACGGCAGGCCCAUCUCAGAUCUUCACUAUGGCAACUUAUGCAAGAAACUGUUGAAUUAGACCCGUUUCCUAUAGAUGAGAAACCAUACAAGCUGUGGAUAAAUAGCAAGGGAAGGAACUGCUGAG